GCUGGCGGCAGGCUUAACACAUGCAAGUCGAGCGGUAGCAGAUCUAGCUUGCUAGAUGCUGACGAGCGGCGGACGGGUGAGUAACGCGUAGGAACCUGCCCAGUAGUGGGGGAUAGCCCGGGGAAACUCGGAUUAAUACCGCAUACGCUCUACGGAGGAAAGAGGGGCUUCGGCUCUCGCUAUUGGAUGGGCCUGCGUGAGAUUAGCUAGUUGGUGAGGUAAUGGCUCACCAAGGCGACGAUCCCUAGCUGGUCUGAGAGGAUGAUCAGCCACACUGGGACUGAGACACGGCCCAGACUCCUACGGGAGGCAGCAGUGGGGAAUAUUGCACAAUGGGCGCAAGCCUGAUGCAGCCAUGCCGCGUGUGUGAAGAAGGCUUUCGGGUUGUAAAGCACUUUCAGUGGGGAGGAAGGCCUCGUAGUUAAUAGCUGCGAGGAUUGACGUUACCCACAGAAGAAGCACCGGCUAACUCCGUG
RNAcentral lists this ribosomal RNA (476 nucleotides) under uncultured bacterium. RNAcentral's name for it is "bacterial SSU rRNA". It matches the Rfam family "Bacterial small subunit ribosomal RNA", at positions 35 to 507 of the family's 1533-position model. The record is from RNAcentral.